Molecule: long non-coding RNA, 285 nt
Organism: Suricata suricatta (meerkat)
Lineage: Eukaryota; Metazoa; Chordata; Mammalia; Carnivora; Herpestidae
Exons: 3
Source: RefSeq, a predicted model, not a curated record
CGGAGAGGCUGCUCCGGAAGUAAACAGCCAGGGUCGUGUCCUCUGGCUUUUUUCAGGGCUCUUUCACCUUCUCGCAGUCUUACUACCAUAAGCUCCAGAAUGUCAGACAAAGGGACAACUGGCGCUACUGAAAUUGGGACUCACACUGUGCCUUUCCAACUGACAUGCUCACUUUGCUGUGGGUGACUGUUCAUCACUUUUUCUUCUCAAAAGGUGUGUGUGUUGUACAAAGUUUCCCUAGAAACAGUAAUGCAACUUAAAAGAUUGAUGUUAGAAUGAGAGUUU